Molecule: ribosomal RNA, 446 nt
Filed under: uncultured bacterium
Lineage: Bacteria
Description: partial 16S ribosomal RNA
Rfam family: Bacterial small subunit ribosomal RNA
Source: RNAcentral
CCUACGGGCGGCAGCAGUGGGAAUCUUGCGCAAUGGGCGGAAGCCUGACGCAGCGACGCCGCGUGCGGGACGAAGGCCUUCGGGUCGUAAACAGCUUUCAGCAGGGACGAGGCCCUCACGGUGACGGUACCUGCAGAAGAAGCCCCGCCUAACUACGUGCCAGCAUCCGCGGUAAUACGUGGGGGGCGAGCGUUGUCCGGAUUCAUUGGGCGAAAGGCGUGCGUUGGCGGGCUGUUAGUUCGGGGGUCAAAUUCCGGGGCUAAACCCCGUUCCGCCCCCGAUACCGGCAGGCUUGAGUCUGUUAGGGGAAGGCGGAAUGCCCGGUGUAGCGGUGGAAUGCGCAGAUAUUAGGAAGAACACCGGCGGCGAAGGCGGCCUUCUGGGCCACGACUGACGCUGAGGCGCGAAAGCUAGGGGAGCGAACAGGAUUAGAUACCCUUGUAGUC